This 425-nucleotide ribosomal RNA is filed under the name uncultured bacterium. RNAcentral's name for it is "partial 16S ribosomal RNA". It matches the Rfam family "Bacterial small subunit ribosomal RNA", at positions 354 to 796 of the family's 1533-position model. The record is from RNAcentral.
GUGGGGGAUAUUGCACAAUGGAGGAAACUCUGAUGCAGCGACGCCGCGUGAGUGAAGAAGUAUUUCGGUAUGUAAAGCUCUAUCAGCAGGGAAGAUAAUGACAGUACCUGACUAAGAAGCCCCGGCUAACUACGUGCCAGCAGCCGCGGUAAUACGUAGGGGGCAAGCGUUAUCCGGAUUUACUGGGUGUAAAGGGAGCGUAGACGGAAUGGCAAGUCUGAAGUGAAAUCCUGCGGCUUAACUGCAGAAUUGCUUUGGAAACUGUCAAUCUGGAGUGUUGGAGAGGUAAGCGGAAUUCCUGGUGUAGCGGUGAAAUGCGUAGAUAUCAGGAAGAACACCGGAGGCGAAGGCGGCUUACUGGACAAUAACUGACGUUGAGGCUCGAAAGCGUGGGAAGCAAACAGGAUUAGAAACCCCAGUAGUCC